This is a small nuclear RNA of Grammomys surdaster, 105 nucleotides long. NCBI's taxonomy places the organism in Eukaryota, Metazoa, Chordata, Mammalia, Rodentia, Muridae. The record is from RefSeq and is a predicted model, not a curated record.
CUGCUCUUUUGCAGUGGCACAGGCACUAAAAGGGGAACGAUAGAGACAUUAGCAUGGCUCCUGCAAAUGGAUAACACACAAAUUCAUGAAGCAUUUCAUACUCUU